Molecule: ribosomal RNA, 659 nt
Filed under: Russula caeruleoanulata
Lineage: Eukaryota; Fungi; Basidiomycota; Agaricomycetes; Russulales; Russulaceae
Description: eukaryotic LSU rRNA
Rfam family: Eukaryotic large subunit ribosomal RNA
Source: RNAcentral
UGCAUAUCAUUAACGGAGGAAAAGAAACUCCCAAGGAUUCCCCUAGUAACUGCGAGUGAAGCGGGAAAAGCUCAAAUUUAAAAUCUGUUGGUCUUUGGCCAUCCGAGUUGUAAUUUAGAGAAGCGUCUUCCGCGCUGGACCGUGCACAAGUCUCCUGGAACGGAGCGUCAUAGAGGGUGAGAAUCCCGUCUUUGGCAUGGACUACCAGGGCUUUUGUGAUGCGCUCUCGAAGAGUCGAGUUGUUUGGGAAUGCAGCUCAAAAUGGGUGGUGAACUCCAUCUAAAGCUAAAUAUUGGCGAGAGACCGAUAGCGAACAAGUACCGUGAGGGAAAGAUGAAAAGCACUUUGGAAAGAGAGUGAAACAGUACGUGAAAUUGUUGAAAGGGAAACGCUUGAAGUCAGUCGCGUCGAUCGAGACUCAGCCUCGCUCCGGCUUGGUGUAUUUCUCGCUCGACGGGUCAGCAUCAAUUUCGUCUCUCGGAUAAUGGCGAGGGAAAGGUGGCACCUUUACGGGUGUGUUAUAGUCUCUUGUCGCAUGCGAGGGCUGAGAUUGAGGAACUCAGCACGCGCCCUUUGGGUGUCGGGGCUUCGGCUCACGCUACGUGCUUAGGAUGCUGGCGUAAUGGCUUUAAACGACCCGUCUGAAAACACGGACCAAA